Molecule: ribosomal RNA, 259 nt
Filed under: uncultured bacterium
Lineage: Bacteria
Description: partial 16S ribosomal RNA
Rfam family: Bacterial small subunit ribosomal RNA
Source: RNAcentral
UACGAAGGGGGCUAGCGUUGCUCGGAAUCACUGGGCGUAAAGGGUGCGUAGGCGGGUCUUUAAGUCAGGGGUGAAAUCCUGGAGCUCAACUCCAGAACUGCCUUUGAUACUGAGGAUCUUGAGUUCGGGAGAGGUGAGGUGGAACUGCGAGUGUAGAGGUGAAAAUUCGUAGAUAUUCGCAAGAACACCAGUGGCGAAGGCGGCUCACUGGCCCGAGUACUGACGCUGAGGCACGAAAGCGUGGGGAAGCAAACGGGGA